GGUGAACGCUGGCGGCGUGCCUAACACAUGCAAGUCGAGCGGUGCAGUUUGAAGCUUCGGUGGAAAGCUGCAUAGCGGCGGACGGGUGAGGAAAACGUAGGAACGUGCCCCUUGGAGUUGGAUAGCCACGGGAAACUGUGGGUAAACCGACAUAGACUCGAGAGAGUAAAGGCCGAAAGGCGCCAAGGGAGCGGCCUGCGGCCCAUCAGGUAGUUGGUAGUGUAAAGGACUACCAAGCCGACGACGGGUAGCCGGUCUGAGAGGAUGGCCGGCCACAAGGGCACUGAGAGACGGGCCCUACUCCUACGGGAGGCAGCAGUGGGGGAUUUGGACAAUGGGCGAAAGCCUGAUCCAGCGACGCCGCGUGGAGGACGAAGCCCUUCGGGGUGUAAACGUCCUUUUCUCAGGGAAAACGGAUGAUGGUACCUGAGGAAUAAGCCCCGGCGUAACUACGUG
RNAcentral lists this ribosomal RNA (456 nucleotides) under uncultured bacterium. Its description in RNAcentral is "bacterial SSU rRNA". It matches the Rfam family "Bacterial small subunit ribosomal RNA", at positions 28 to 507 of the family's 1533-position model. The record is from RNAcentral.